GCCCCUCCGUAGCGGCGAGUGAGCGGCAAAGCUCAAUUUGAAUCUGGCGUCUUUGGCGUCCGAGUUGUAAUUUGAAGAAGGUAUCUUUGGGCCCGGCUCUUGUCUAUGUUCCUUGGAACAGGACGUCACAGAGGGUGAGAAUCCCGUGCGAUGAGAUGACCCGGGUCUGUGUAAAGUUCCUUCGACGAGUCGAGUUGUUUGGGAAUGCAGCUCUAAGUGGGUGGUAAAUUCCAUCUAAAGCUAAAUAUUGGCGAGAGACCGAUAGCGAACAAGUACAGUGAUGGAAAGAUGAAAAGAACUUUGAAAAGAGAGUGAAAAAGUACGUGAAAUUGUUGAAAGGGAAGGGCUUGAGAUCAGACUUGGUAUUUUGCAUGUUGCUCUCUCGGGGGCGGCCGCUGCGGUUUACCGGGCCAGCAUCGGUUUGGAGCGGCAGGAUAAUGGCGGAGGAAUGUGG
This 454-nucleotide ribosomal RNA is filed under the name Candida albicans. RNAcentral describes it as "eukaryotic LSU rRNA". It matches the Rfam family "Eukaryotic large subunit ribosomal RNA", at positions 73 to 509 of the family's 3401-position model. The record is from RNAcentral. Lineage: Eukaryota; Fungi; Ascomycota; Pichiomycetes; Serinales; Debaryomycetaceae.